CUCUCUCACUCCAUACCCUAACCUAUUUUCUCAUCUUCCUCCCUCUCUCUCUCCGUUCCCACCGUCAGCACUCUCCCUCUCCCUUUCCCUCCCCCUCUCUCGAGCUCCCUUGCCCUCGUCGUCUCCCUCUACCUAUCUCGAGCUCCCAUGCCCUCACACCUCCUUCAACAGCACCAACUCUUCAGCAGUGCUGCCUCCACCGGCUCUCCCUCUCCCUCUCUCGAGCUACUAGUUCCUAAGAGAAGAACUGUAAAAAAUAGAUGAAAGCUGGACAGCUGCAUGUUCUGAUUCCUUGCCUCAUGUUGUCCAUAUUUUGACAUCGAAGGAUCGUGAAGGUGAAGCCCAGUUUUUGAAGGAGCAGAGUGAUAUUAUCGAGGAUGUUAUGGAUGAAGUUGUGCACGCAUAUCAUGGUGGUUUCAACAAAGCAAUUCAAAAUUAUUGCAAUCCAACUCUACAAAGCCUGGAUAUGUGCUUCAAAUUGCAGUUACAUUAUGUGCUCCAAGUAGAAGAAGUAUUUGUAUAUGAUGCAGUAAAAACUACUGAAGAAACUCUAAUGGAUGUACUAACACAAGUCAUUAAAAAGGCGAAUCACCUUAAUAUAAAAGCAACUCCAAUG
This is a long non-coding RNA of Magnolia sinica, 616 nucleotides long. RefSeq lists it as uncharacterized. The record is from RefSeq and is a predicted model, not a curated record. Lineage: Eukaryota; Viridiplantae; Streptophyta; Magnoliopsida; Magnoliales; Magnoliaceae. The transcript is spliced from 3 exons.